Long non-coding RNA from Epinephelus fuscoguttatus (brown-marbled grouper), 1666 nucleotides. RefSeq lists it as uncharacterized. Lineage: Eukaryota; Metazoa; Chordata; Actinopteri; Perciformes; Serranidae. The record is from RefSeq and is a predicted model, not a curated record. The transcript is spliced from 3 exons.
AGAAGAAACAUCACAAAGGACACCGUGGGAAAUCAGAUUCAGAUAUUCAAAAAGCAGUGCAAUUAGUGGGGAAACUUUCUUCUGCUACAUGAUUCACAGGUUCACCACACCAGCUUCAACAAUAACCAGCCAUGUCCAGCCUCGUUCUCGUCUUCUGCCUCCGGAUUUGGACUGCUCUGCCUUCAGCCCCACGGCCUGCUUUGCUUUGCCAUUCCAAGCCCACCUCAGCCAUCAUUUCACUCAAGCCUUCAGCCCCCAUCUUCAAACUACAAUGAACUGCCAUUAACUAUUCCCAGUUUCCUGGUUGUGUUUGUAUUUGGGUCCUAAGUUAAACUGUUGUUCUAUUGUUGCUCACUACUGUUUUUAAUAUUUGUUCAGCCCUUUGUGAUAUUGGGCUAUAAUAAACUUUGACCUCACUGGAGUACUUCAAUAGGGAAUGCAGACAAUAAGCUAAAAUUGUGUUGCAUUUUAUCCACUAACACAGAAAAUCACUUUUAGGCAACUGGAACCUUUUUGUUUAAACCAAAUUGAUCUUCUAACCAAAGGUGAGCACAUGACAGGGCAAUGUAAUUAAUUCACCAAAAAGGCAAAGAUAUUGCAGUUUACAGUUUAGGCAUGUCGUCAUUUCAUCCAGACCAUUUCAAAUAAGUGAAAAUUCCUCAGAUAUCAACAGGGUAUUUAUACACUAGCAAGGAGAUUCAGAGUGCUGUAAAAGCAAUGAAAGGAGCAGUAAUCAAGACAGUAAGCUGGAUCUGUGUCAGUUGUACUGUUUUGUAACAGUGCUUUCUUUCUCUAACAGGAGCUACUUCAGCACAAGGAGGGACUGUGUGUUUUCUCAGCUGGUGCUGUAGAUUCUGUCCCUCACAUGUGAAAAGUGUCAUAUGGAUGUGUAUUGAGCUUCGGGUCAUUUAGCUCCUAUCUGCAAGGAUGCUCUUACGUUGUACAGCUCAAACACCACAGACCUGUUACCUAUGUACAUUAUGAUUUGUGGGUAUUUUCUUGUGACGGCAGUGUUUAUUAGUUGCAUGUUGUCAGUGAGUGGCAUGGAGAGUUUCCAUCCUCUUGUAGGUAUGAAGAAACUAAGGAGAGUGUUAAUUAUAGAAGAGAACUUGUUAUACAAGCAAUCAAUAUUAACACCAUUCAACAAUAGUACAGGCACUGUUAUAAAUGAGACAGAAUAAUCACACAAGCUUAAAAGCAUCAUCAAGACGUCAUCAUAAAAUUCAAUAUUUGCACAUUUGCUGAAUUAGUAUCUUGAUUCCAAGUAAAAUGUAGAUAAGAAACACAAAAAUGAGACAGCUGUAACAGAAGAGAGUUGUGUACAUUGCCUAUUGACUUGAUAGGAGCAGUGUCAGGUGUGUGUGUGUACAUGGCAGCACAUUUUAUUUCCAGCUCACAUAUUGCUGACAGUGUGAGCAGCUAGGAGCCUGGCUGACCUUGGCCCUGUCUUUCUGCUUUUGACGGAUGAAGGGAAGCUAGCUGUCCCUUUUAGCAACCAGUUUACCACUGCUCAUUUCAGGAAUAUAAAUGACCAUUUCUCGAACUUUUUAAUUAUAUCCCUGAGACUCGAUUCCUGACAGUAUUUGUGAAUAUGGUUAUUAACUUUUGAUGGAUGACAUGGCUUGAGGACUACUUUUUGCUAAACAAAGAGGAUCCAGUCUAAUUU